GAUCGGCUCAGGAUGAACGCUGGCGGCAUGCCUAAUACAUGCAAGUCGAACGAGAGGAAGGAAAGCUUGCUUUUCUGAAUCUAGUGGCGAACGGGUGAGUAACACGUAGGUAACCUGCCCAUGUGCCCGGGAUAACUUUUGGAAACGGAUGCUAAAACCGGAUAGGUAGCAGACAAGCAUUUGACUGCUAUUAAAGUGGCCUUGGCCAUGAACAUGGAUGGACCUGCGGUGCAUUAG
RNAcentral lists this ribosomal RNA (237 nucleotides) under uncultured bacterium. RNAcentral's name for it is "partial 16S ribosomal RNA". It matches the Rfam family "Bacterial small subunit ribosomal RNA", at positions 15 to 244 of the family's 1533-position model. The record is from RNAcentral.